GAUGAACGCUGGCGGCGUGCCUAAUACAUGCAAGUCGAGCGAACAGACGAGGAGCUUGCUCCUUCGACGUUAGCGGCGGACGGGUGAGUAACACGUAGGUAACCUACCUAUAAGACUGGGAUAACUUCGGGAAACCGAAGCUAAUCCCGGAUAAUAUUUCGAACCGCAUGGUUCGAUAGUGAAAGAUGGCUUUGCUAUCACUUAUAGAUGGACCUGCGCCGUAUUAGCUAGUUGGUAAGGUAACGGCUUACCAAGGCAACGAUACGUAGCCGACCUGAGAGGGUGAUCGGCCACACUGGAACUGAGACACGGUCCAGACUCCUACGGGAGGCAGCAGUAGGGAAUCUUCCGCAAUGGGCGAAAGCCUGACGGAGCAACGCCGCGUGAGUGAUGAAGGUCUUCGGAUCGUAAAACUCUGUUAUUAGGGAAGAACAAACGUGUAAGUAACUGUGCACGUCUUGACGGUACCUAAUCAGAAAGCCACGGCUAACUACGUG
This 497-nucleotide ribosomal RNA is filed under the name uncultured bacterium. RNAcentral's name for it is "partial 16S ribosomal RNA". It matches the Rfam family "Bacterial small subunit ribosomal RNA", at positions 28 to 507 of the family's 1533-position model. The record is from RNAcentral.